This 737-nucleotide ribosomal RNA is filed under the name Lactobacillus casei group sp. RNAcentral's name for it is "bacterial SSU rRNA". It matches the Rfam family "Bacterial small subunit ribosomal RNA", at positions 61 to 762 of the family's 1533-position model. Lineage: Bacteria; Bacillati; Bacillota; Bacilli; Lactobacillales; Lactobacillaceae. The record is from RNAcentral.
GUCGAACGAGUUCUCGUUGAUGAUCGGUGCUUGCACCGAGAUUCAACAUGGAACGAGUGGCGGACGGGUGAGUAACACGUGGGUAACCUGCCCUUAAGUGGGGGAUAACAUUUGGAAACAGAUGCUAAUACCGCAUAGAUCCAAGAACCGCAUGGUUCUUGGCUGAAAGAUGGCGUAAGCUAUCGCUUUUGGAUGGACCCGCGGCGUAUUAGCUAGUUGGUGAGGUAAUGGCUCACCAAGGCGAUGAUACGUAGCCGAACUGAGAGGUUGAUCGGCCACAUUGGGACUGAGACACGGCCCAAACUCCUACGGGAGGCAGCAGUAGGGAAUCUUCCACAAUGGACGCAAGUCUGAUGGAGCAACGCCGCGUGAGUGAAGAAGGCUUUCGGGUCGUAAAACUCUGUUGUUGGAGAAGAAUGGUCGGCAGAGUAACUGUUGCCGGCGUGACGGUAUCCAACCAGAAAGCCACGGCUAACUACGUGCCAGCAGCCGCGGUAAUACGUAGGUGGCAAGCGUUAUCCGGAUUUAUUGGGCGUAAAGCGAGCGCAGGCGGUUUUUUAAGUCUGAUGUGAAAGCCCUCGGCUUAACCGAGGAAGCGCAUCGGAAACUGGGAAACUUGAGUGCAGAAGAGGACAGUGGAACUCCAUGUGUAGCGGUGAAAUGCGUAGAUAUAUGGAAGAACACCAGUGGCGAAGGCGGCUGUCUGGUCUGUAACUGACGCUGAGGCUCGAAAGCAU